AGAAUGUGGCUGCUCUAAUCCCACAUAAUGAACCAGAUUGUGCGCCCUCUCUGCACCCUAGGCACUAGACAAGCUGGUACAAGCUGUUGGCUUCAGCCUGCCUUACCGCCUUGGUGCACUGGACGUCCUUCCCCAGCAGCCAGUUGAGCUCCAGGUUGCCCUCGCCCUGGUAGCAGGACUGCAGGCGCUCCUUGAUCUGCAAGUUGAUGGCCCGGAUAGGGAAGGCACACAGGGCAGAGUCAUCGGGCGGGUGGUGAUACUGCUUCUGCCCUUUGGAGAAGAUGGCAAAGAGUACAUCGUCCUGGCUGGUGAUAUUGAAGGCCUGG
Molecule: long non-coding RNA, 326 nt
Filed under: Homo sapiens (human)
Lineage: Eukaryota; Metazoa; Chordata; Mammalia; Primates; Hominidae
Description: HSALNT0020863
Source: RNAcentral